GACGAACGCUGGCGGCGUGCCUAAUACAUGCAAGUCGAACGCUGAAGGAGGAGCUUGCUUCUCUGGAUGAGUUGCGAACGGGUGAGUAACGCGUAGGUAACCUGCCUGGUAGCGGGGGAUAACUAUUGGAAACGAUAGCUAAUACCGCAUAAUAGUAGAUGUCGCAUGACAUUUGCUUAAAAGGUGCAAUUGCAUCACUACCAGAUGGACCUGCGUUGUAUUAGCUAGUUGGUGAGGUAACGGCUCACCAAGGCAACGAUACAUAGCCGACCUGAGAGGGUGAUCGGCCACACUGGGACUGAGACACGGCCCAGACUCCUACGGGAGGCAGCAGUAGGGAAUCUUCGGCAAUGGACGGAAGUCUGACCGAGCAACGCCGCGGGAGUGAAGAAGGGUUUCGGAUCGUAAAGCUCUGUUGUAAGAGAAGAACGAGUGUGAGAGUGGAAAGUUCACACUGUGACGGUAGCUUACCAGAAAGGGACGGCUAACUACGUG
This 495-nucleotide ribosomal RNA is filed under the name uncultured bacterium. Its description in RNAcentral is "partial 16S ribosomal RNA". It matches the Rfam family "Bacterial small subunit ribosomal RNA", at positions 28 to 507 of the family's 1533-position model. The record is from RNAcentral.